GCAGCAGCAAGUGAUGUCAUAGACAGGGCCUUUUGAACACCUGCUAAUGCUUUUAUAAAUGUAUGGUUUAAUGUAACUGUGCAACAACGUUGCAAUUAAAUGUGCUAUAUAAAUGAUAACAGUUACUCCGCCCACUCCAGUUGUAGACUACUGGUGGAGGCAAGAACACUUCACACAAUUUCCCCAGGAAUUGUAGCUUUUCUAGUUAUUCUUAUUAUAGCCAAAUUUGCCACCCUAACUCCUCCCACAGUUUUUACACUACAUAGACAAAAAUUUACCAAAACGUGCAGGUUGUUCCCGAUUGGAUUGCUAUUACUUUGUGGAACGUUUCACCGAAUGGUUUAUGGAAUAUCGUUGUUCUUGUGGCGAAAUUGGUCCCAUAGGAAUGAAUGGCAAAAUGUUCAAAACUAGAGUGGGAGCUGGCAAAAGCUCAAAAAUCAGGACAUGAUUUCUAAACUACCACCACUCCCUUAUUUUCAAGCCCACCUACACAAUUCUUAUAUCAAAACGUUCAGCUAUCCCUGCUGCCACUAAAAGCUAAGCUAAGUUUUCACAAUAUGACCAUUUGUUUGCAACUCACGCCGUCCAUUGAGAUUCAUUGAAACUCCGCUCUAGCCUGCUCAAACUUGAAGGGCAAUUUCUUAAUACUUCAGAGACAUACUAUGCAUCAAUAUAUAGGUCUGGGUCUUGUGAUUCUCACAAAAUAAAGCUCUUCGCUGUAGGAUGUAUAGCUUUUAAAAUACGACCGUUUGAAGAUGGCAACCGCCACAAUACUCUGACUUGUGCCAGGUUCGAGCAGUAAGUGAUGUCAUAGACAGGGCCUUUUG
Pelobates cultripes (western spadefoot toad) is the source of this 827-nucleotide non-coding RNA. The record is from the annotation of a GenBank genome assembly. NCBI's taxonomy places the organism in Eukaryota, Metazoa, Chordata, Amphibia, Anura, Pelobatidae.